UACGAAGGGGGCUAGCGUUGUUCGGAAUCACUGGGCGUAAAGCGUACGUAGGCGGACCAUUAAGUCGGGGGUGAAAUCCCAGGGCUCAACCCUGGAACUGCCUUCGAUACUGGUGGUCUGGAGUCCGGGAGAGGUGAGUGGAACUCCUAGUGUAGAGGUGAAAUGCGCAGAUAUCAGGAGGAACACCGGUGGCGAAGGCGGGUCUCUGGGCCGAUACUGACGCUGAGGAGCGAAAGCGUGGGGAGCGAACAGG
This 253-nucleotide ribosomal RNA is filed under the name uncultured bacterium. RNAcentral describes it as "partial 16S ribosomal RNA". It matches the Rfam family "Bacterial small subunit ribosomal RNA", at positions 524 to 776 of the family's 1533-position model. The record is from RNAcentral.